Regulatory RNA element from Chloroflexus aurantiacus J-10-fl, 125 nucleotides. It matches the Rfam family "FMN riboswitch aptamer (RFN element)". Rfam says of the family: The RFN element is a highly conserved domain that is found frequently in the 5'-untranslated regions of prokaryotic mRNAs that encode for flavin mononucleotide (FMN) biosynthesis and transport proteins. This element is a metabolite-dependent riboswitch that directly binds FMN in the absence of proteins. In Bacillus subtilis, the riboswitch most likely controls gene expression by causing premature transcription termination within the 5' untranslated region of the ribDEAHT operon and precluding access to the ribosome-binding site of ypaA mRNA. The record is from Rfam. Lineage: Bacteria; Bacillati; Chloroflexota; Chloroflexia; Chloroflexales; Chloroflexaceae.
AACGAUCUUCGGGGCAGGGUGAAAUUCCCGAUCGGUGGUAUAGCCCACGAGCGUGUUGAGAGGCACGCAGGAUCCGGUGUAACUCCGGGGCCGACGGUUACAGUCCGGAUGUAAAGAAGAUCCAG